Molecule: small nuclear RNA, 165 nt
Organism: Erinaceus europaeus (western European hedgehog)
Lineage: Eukaryota; Metazoa; Chordata; Mammalia; Eulipotyphla; Erinaceidae
Gene: U1
Rfam family: U1 spliceosomal RNA
About the family: U1 is a small nuclear RNA (snRNA) component of the spliceosome (involved in pre-mRNA splicing). Its 5' end forms complementary base pairs with the 5' splice junction, thus defining the 5' donor site of an intron.
Source: Ensembl
AUACUUACCUGGCAGGGGAGAUACCAUGAUCAUGAAGGUGGUGUUCUCAAGGCGAGGCUUAUUCAUUACACUCUGGAUGUGCUAAGCCCUGCAAUUUCCUUAAACAUGGGAAAAUCGACUAUAUAAUUUGUGGUAGUGGGGAACUGUGUUCACGCUCUGUCCUGU